GACGGGUGAGUAACGCGUGAGAAUCUAGCUAGGUCGGGGACAACAGUUGGAAACGGCUGCUAAUACCGGAUGUGCCGAAAGGUAAAGUUUUUGCCUAGAUGAGCUCGCGUCUGAUUAGCUAGUAGGUGUGGUAAGAGCGCACCUAGGCGACGAUCAGUAGCUGGUCUGAGAGGACGAUCAGCCACACUGGGACUGAGACACGGCCCAGACUCCUACGGGAGGCAGCAGUGGGGAAUUUUCCGCAAUGGGCGAAAGCCUGACGGAGCAAUACCGCGUGAGGGAGGAAGGCUCUUGGGUUGUAAACCUCUUUUCUCAGGAAGAACAAUGACGGUACUGAGGAAUAAGCAUCGGCUAACUCCGUGCCAGCAGCCGCGGUAAUACGGAGGAUGCAAGCGUUAUCCGGAAUGAUUGGGCGUAAAGCGUCCGCAGGUGGCAAUGAAAGUCUGCUGUUAAAGAGUGAGGCUCAACCUCAUAAAAGCGGUGGAAACUACAUAGCUAGAGUACGUUCGGGGCAGAGGGAAUUCUGGUGUAGCGGUGAAGCGUAGAGAUCGGAAGAACACCGGUGGCGAAA
This 571-nucleotide ribosomal RNA is filed under the name Calothrix sp. LCRSM-2426a. RNAcentral's name for it is "bacterial SSU rRNA". It matches the Rfam family "Bacterial small subunit ribosomal RNA", at positions 100 to 720 of the family's 1533-position model. The record is from RNAcentral. Lineage: Bacteria; Bacillati; Cyanobacteriota; Cyanophyceae; Nostocales; Calotrichaceae.